GAUCAUUGUCUUUCCAUGAGAAGACAUGUUGUUGAAGCUACUAAAUCAUUUUCAAAGGAAUCUGUGAUUGAGGUGGAUCCAGUUUUCUAGAGAGAAUGAGGAAAUGUCUUUUGAAGCCAUGCCUGGGAAGUACAAUCAGCGGAUGUUACUGCACAGAUUUUUUCCAUCACAGCUUCCUCCCAUCUCAAUAAUUAUGAUUUCUUCCCUUAUGCCACUUGUUCUUCCAUGCUUUUUAUUCAUUGUCUGUGAUUAAAGCCUCUUUAAUUAGGAGCUAGAGAAUUCACUCUCUAAUUGAGGACUCAUUUAAAAAUCAUGGACCUGGACUUACAAUUCUGGUCUUUCACUGCUUGGGUCCAUGCACUAGGACGCCUAUAGCAAUACAUGGCUUCUUAUUUCGAAGGUUCUUUAAAUUCUGUUUAAAAAGACCUUAAAGAGUGCAUAGACAUCAAGUAGCACUCUAGUAUUGGGAAGAUUUUAGUUUAAAUGAGAUAGAACCAUGCGAACUAAAUUUUUGUUAAUAAAAACAUAAGCUUGCAAAUUAUAUACUCUAACAUUUCCAUGGGCUAUAUAACCUCAGGAAGGGCAAACUAUGUCUUUAUAGAAUAAACUAUAGGCUGGAAGUGUAAUGGAAAGGACUCAGAGGAGUGUAACAAAAUAAUUAAAGGCUUAGAAAAUAAUAUCCAUGGAGCAAUUAACAGGAUUGUAUUCAUGACCUUUGGUAAAAUGGCUGUUAGUGAUGACACAUGGUGAUUACAAUGGAAGACAUGUUCUGUGUUGGAGAGUGACAAGCUGUUAACCAAUGCAGACAAAUCACAAAACAAGACCUGAAAGCCUUAAAAGAAAUACUUAUCGAAUAUCCCUAAAUGGGGACUUUCAAAAAGCCAAAGUCAUUUAUGAGAAAGGCAGUGAAUUUGAAUGAAAAAUACAUUGAACCAGUUGGAAGUCAGAAGGUCUGAGUUCUCCGUGGGCACUGCCACUGCCUCACUCAUGGUCCUUCGUCAUCCCAUUCCCUCCGCGGAUGGGCAUCUACUCAGCUUUAUAAUGAAAUGGCGGAUGAAGAGAUCACCCUACUCCAUCAGCAGGACGUGCAUCGUCAUGUUUGUCGUGAGCUUUGUCUCACAUCAUUGUAUGAUGUGCUGCUGCUGCUGUAAUGAGAAUACCUGGACUAUUUAA
Molecule: long non-coding RNA, 1173 nt
Filed under: Macaca mulatta (Rhesus monkey)
Lineage: Eukaryota; Metazoa; Chordata; Mammalia; Primates; Cercopithecidae
Description: lncRNA (ENSMMUG00000060898.1)
Source: RNAcentral